AUUUGAGAAAAAGUGGAAAAAAUAAAAAAAUAGGACCAUAUGGCUGUGUAGGAGGGUUUAGACCGUGUGACAGGGGUAUACGACCGUCUGACUAAGAGACAUGGCCUUGUGGCUGAAGUAGCAAAAAGAAGAUGAUGGAAAAAGAAGUAUUCAGUAGCAAAAAGAGUCAAAAUCGAAAAAUGGAAGAGUGAGAAAAAAGAAGUAACAUGAAAGAAAGUGAGGGAGACAUGAGAGGAUUUUGGGGAUUAUUUUCUAAAAUUAGAAUUCCCACUAAAAAUCAAACUAACCUCCUAUCAAAUACUCCAAAAUUCAAAUAAAUUGAACCACAUGGC
This 332-nucleotide long non-coding RNA is filed under the name Gossypium raimondii (Peruvian cotton). RNAcentral describes it as "long non-coding RNA (GRAI_LNC003561)". Lineage: Eukaryota; Viridiplantae; Streptophyta; Magnoliopsida; Malvales; Malvaceae. The record is from RNAcentral.